UACGGGGGGGGCAAGCGUUGUUCGGAAUUACUGGGCGUAAAGGGCUUGUAGGUGGCCAACUAAGUCAGACGUGAAAUCCCUCGGCUUAACCGGGGAACUGCGUCUGAUACUGGAUGGCUUGAGUUUGGGAGAGGGAUGCGGAAUUCCAGGUGUAGCGGUGAAAUGCGUAGAUAUCGGGAGGAACACCUGAGGCGAAGGCGGGCUACUGGGGCGAUACUGACGCUGAGGCGCGAAAGCCAGGGGAGCAAACGGG
Molecule: ribosomal RNA, 253 nt
Filed under: uncultured bacterium
Lineage: Bacteria
Description: partial 16S ribosomal RNA
Rfam family: Bacterial small subunit ribosomal RNA
Source: RNAcentral